CUCACUUGCCAGCAUCCAUCUUGGCAUGGCCUUCUCAUUCCACCACAGAAAGGAGUUGCCUUCAUGGACUCAAAUUGCUUUAAAAUACGAGUUGUUUUAGAGGCAAAUAACUCUCCACUCCAGCUCAAAAUCCACAUGGAUACUAUCUUGAUUCUUUUGCAGUAUGGUUUAUUAUCACAAGUUUUAAAAAGUGUUCCCAGGAAUUCUAACGUGUAGCCAUAGUUGAGACUGACCAGACCAACUAGUUCAGCUUUCAAGCAACACGCAACAGUGUCAAGAAACUCCUCCUGUGCGUGUACGUACAGACAGAGCUGCAAUUCUUUCAGGGAAGGACAAGGCUUCCUUACAAAUGAACAUAUUGUCUUGAUGUGAUCAUGGUUGAACUCAACAGAUAUUUGCAGGAAGUUGGAGGAAGACACUGUGUUUUCUUGCAUCAUAAACCCGAAGUGCUCAGAACAUAACAGGAAGUGAAGGUUAAGGUAUGGGCAAGCAAAUCCAGCCUUCUGUGAAUACAUCUGAAUCCUCCCUGGUGUGGUCAGGGACAGGGUUCUCACGACAGAGCCUAAGCAGGAGUAACUCAGGGCCUGCUUGAAGGUUUGUGUCACAAAGAGCCACAUCUGCUCCUCUAACCUUUCUGUCUUGAAGCAAGCAAGGUUGGUGAUGUCUGGAGAGACCAAGUGUGAUAAUGGAAGAGUCUCCAUCAGUCCAACCCUGAGUGAGAGACGACCCACACACUGAGCAACUGCCUUGACUCAGAGGUGAGGAUGCAGGAAACUGCUACUGUGCCAAAUCGUGGGCAUACUGGGAUCUGCUGAUGACUUCAGCCUUGUCUGACUAACACAGAAGGACCAAGCAUUUGUCCUUUUGCAGACUAGAACCUCUGACUACUGCAAUCCCAGAUCACUAGGAAACUGGAAACUGGAGGAGAGGAGAGGAGUGGCAGAUCAGGGGUGAGAUGGGGACACAGGGGAAGGAGAUGCACCUUCUCAUUGUUUUCAUUUGUUGUAUUAUGAAGACAAUCGCUAACUGUAAGAUCCAUUUUGAGACAAAGAAUGAAGCAUGUUAUGCUAAUGUUUUAUUCCUAUCGUCUGGGACAUUAGGAACUCUUCGUGUGACCCUUCCUGAUGUCAUCAUAUCAUUCCUUCCAUGCGCUGAGCAGGUAUCCAUUGCUGUGACUUUAUAUAGUUAUUCCUUCACUUUUUUCACAGUUUUACACA
Molecule: non-coding RNA, 1217 nt
Organism: Oryctolagus cuniculus (rabbit)
Lineage: Eukaryota; Metazoa; Chordata; Mammalia; Lagomorpha; Leporidae
Source: RefSeq, a predicted model, not a curated record